GCCGAUACAGUAUGGUGCAGGUAGAACUCGUCCCUUUAAUGAUGGCAUAUGCCCCUUAGGUCUAAACCUACCUGGGGGCUCUGCGACCCCCGUAUGGGAAAUAUGACCUAAGAGCUAUGAAGAAGGAAGCUCGACGUAGGGGAAGAUAUGGACAAAACCCCGUAAUGAUGACCACCCGGGGCUCAUGCCACUGAUACGGAUUAAUCUUCGCAAGAUCUACAAACAUGAUUAAGGACCCACGUGAGGAAGGGCACUGGCUCAUGACAUGAGUUACCGAAGAGAGUAGUGUCUUUUUACCUUUUUACGCUCCCUUUCGAGAGAAGCCAUUAUAAAGGGCUCCCUCCUUGUCCUACAAAAGGAGGAGUCGACCUCAAAUAGAACACCAGUGACACAACACACCCAAUACGAUAUAAGCACUCGCACCCCACAGAAACUUGAGAACGUUUUCUCUCUCACCCAUUUGGAAGCCCCUACUACAAACAAGCUGGUGCCAGUAACGUGAGCCGCCAAAAACUGGAGUAGGGACAUUCAGCCUAGACCAGUAUAACCCCUUGCGUCCACCAAGCACACAGUGGCGGACCCACAGGGGGGUUCGGGUGGGCCGUGGCACACCCUAAGUCAGGCCCACCAGAGACCCCACCCCACCAGGCCAUUCCAGUUAGCGGACGGGACGCACGUUCCAACUUCCAACUUUCUGCUUUCUGUUCGCGUUCGGUUCGGUUCGGCUUCUCUGUUCCUAGCGGUCUCGUCUUCUCGUCUUCUAUCCGGCCUCUGCGAUCGGUUCGGCUUUUCCUGGCGGCGACCAGCAGGCUGGCAGCUGCUUGUGGCUUGCCUUGUGCCUUCCUGCGCGCAGCGCGCAAGCUGGCGACGCCAACGAGGACCUCCAGUCCUCUAGAUCGGCGCGGCGCUCCUGGACCAGCAAGAGAACAGGGUCGUGUUCCGGCUGUGCAACGGCGAUCGGGCGGGCGGAGGCGGCGAGGCGCGCGUGGAGAGGAUGCACAUCGAGCCAGCGAUAUUUUCUGCGCGAGGAGCGCGCCCGGCACUCCGGCCAGGGAGUUCAAGAAGGUGUACAACUGCUUGUGGGCAUGGUACAGGCGUACAGCCGGUGCAGCUCGUGUACCUGGUUGAUUUGAUCGGUUACAUCGGUAGGAACCCAGGCAACAUAUUGUUGUUGAUUUUUGUCUUAUUGAUUAUUGAUUCACUACCAUUAUUUUUGUAGUGACUAAAAUAUGAAGAAGCAGGGAGAUAUCGCCUCUCUUUUUCGCAAUCAUACUGCAAAGAAAUAGAAGUUUAUUGCUUCUUCAUUAUCUCCGGAUGUUACUCAACCAUCGGCACCUCAAGAACAAGAGGAAGAGAGAAUAAAUGAAGAAAUUGUGAAUCCAAUGCCAUCUGCACCGCCACCGCCAACACUUUAUGAUGUCAGUCGUCUUCCACAUGAUCCAGGUGAAAGACAACCUAUUGCAAGUUACCAUGCUAAUAAUCAUGAUGCAAUUCGAAGAGCAUAUAUUCUUAGAGGUCCGUUUCAACCAUAUGCACAUGAAUUCCCAAAUAGGAAAAUUGGAGAUAGAGAUCCUCAUUUUAAUUUUGUGUGGUUUCAAAAUUUUCCUUGGAUUGAAUAUAGUGUCAAGAAAGAUGCUGCAUUUUGCUUUAUGUGCUACUUAUUCAAAAGUAAAGCAAAUAAGGGCAAAGGGACUUCUGCAUUUACUUCAGAUGGUUGGAAUAAUUGGAAAAAGGGUCUGAAGCACUUCUAAAACAUGUGGGUUCUAUGUCACAUAAGACAGCCGAAGAGAAAUAUCUUGCCUUUAUAAAUCCUAAUGCAGCAAUUGAUAAUAAAAUUGAGAAGUGGAGUGAUGAUGAUCGCAAUCUUUAUAAGAUAAGGUUGACAUAUUCACUUCGAUGUUUGAAGUUUCUUUUGCAUCAAGGAUUGUCAUUGCGUGGACAUGAUGAAAGUGAAGAGUCUAGCAACAGAGGAAACUUUAUUGAAAUCUUGAAAUUUCUUGCUAUAAAUAGUGAAGAGGUCAACAAGUAUGUUCUUAACAACGCUCCAGGUAAUUGCACUUUGACUAGCCCAAAGAUACAAUAGCAAAUUAUUCAGUGUUGCGCUAUAGAAACUAGAAAGAAAAUAAUUGAAGAGCUUGAGGAAGAGCCAUUUGCAAUUUUAGCGGAUGAGUCUAGUGACAUAUCACACAAAGAACAACUAGCUCUUUGCUUGCGUUAUGUUGAUGCAUUGGGAAGGCCAUGUGAGCACUUCAUUGGAGUUGUUCAUGUAGAUGAUACUAGCUCUUUAUCACUUAAGAAUGCAAUUGAAGCUUUACUUGUUAGUCAUGGCUUGACUUUGACACAAAUUCGUGGACAAGGUUAUGAUGGGGCUAGCAACAUGAGAGGUGAUAUUAAAGAAUUGAAAACAUUGAUCAUGCAAGAGUCACCUUCUACUUAUUAUAUCUACAGUUUUGCACAUCAACUCCAACUAGUUCUUGUUGUUGUUGCCAAGGGAAAUAAUGAUUGUGUCUGGUUUUUUGAUCAAGUAACUCUCUUAUUGAAUAUCGUUGGAGUUUCUUGUAAGCGUCACGGUAUGCUUCGAGAUGCUAGACUUGAGAAUCUCGUGAAAUCACUUGAAUGUGGUGAACUUGAAAUUGGGAGAGGAUUGAAUCAAGAGAUGGGGUUGCCUAGGCCUGGUGAGACUCGAUGGGGCUCUUAUUACAAAACUAUAUGCAACAUAAUUACUAUGUAUCCUGUAAUCCGAGAUGUUCUCAUGAUUCUUGGAGAGGAUACUACAAUUAGAAGUGAUUAGACAAGGAUACAUUCUAUGCUUGGAGCAUUUGAGUCAUUUGACUUUGUUUUUGAUGCACACUUAAUAUUUGUUAUUCUUAGAUAUACAAAUGAUUUAUCAGUGUGUUUGCAAAGAAGGGAGCAAGAUAUUAUUAAUGCAAUUUCACUUGUUAAUGUGGCAAAGAGAAGAAUGCAACAGUUAAGGCUUGAUGGUUGGGAUCAAUUCCUUCAAAGAAUCACUUCAUUUUGCAACAAACAUGAUAUCCUAGUUCCUGCUAUGGAUGGAAAUUAUAAGCCUUAUGAAAGAUCAUCACGAUUUGUUCAUAACCAAACCAAUGAUGACCACUUCAGAAGAGAAGUAUAUAUUGGGAUCAUUGAUCAAAUUAGCCUAGAGCUUGAUAGUCAGUUUAGUGAGGCUAAUAUGGAGCUGCUUUCUUGUAUGUCAGCCUUAGAUCCUUCCAACUCUUUUGCUUCUUUUGAUGCACAUAAGGUACGAAAGCUAGCUGAUUUCUAUCCUAAUGACAUGUCAAGCACUGACUUGUUAAAACUUGACUUGCAACUUGACAAUUAUAUUGAUGGCAUAAGAGAAGAUGAUAGAUUCAAAGACAUAACUAAUCUUGUGGAUCUCUUAGUUAAGCUUGUUGAAACAAAGAGACAUAAGGUGUUUGAUAUAGUUUAUUUGCUUCUCAAAUUGGUAUUUCUUUUGCCGGUGGCGACUGAAAGGGAAAUGUGCCCUUGGGCCAUUUCUAAGUAUUUUGGUGAUUGAGUGCCAACUCAAGUGCUUAAAAUGUGAAUUUAUGCAAUGGAUGAACAAAGUGCAAAUCAAGAGCAAAGGUAUGUUUCUAAGUCUUAGUACAUUGGUUUUGUGUACUAAUAUACUUGUCUAAGUAUUGGAAACAGGAAGAAAAAGAAAAGGAAAAAGGUGGUUGUGUACAGCCAAGGGGCUGUUUCGGUCUGGGGCACCGGACUGUCCGGUGGUGCACCGGACAGUGUCCGGUGCGCCAGGCUGCCUCGGCCGAACAGGCCGCUCUCGGGAAUUCGCCGACGGCGUACGGCUAAAAUUCACCGGACUGUCCGGUGUGCACCGGACUGUCCGGUGAGCCAACGGUCGGCCGGGCCAACGGUCGGCCGCGCGAUCUGCGCGGGACACGUGGCCGAGCCAACGGUCGGGAAGGGGCACCGGACUGUCCGGUGUGCACCGGACAUGUCCGGUGCGCCAACGGCUCCCGCAUCUGCAACGGUCGACUGCGCUGUUUAAGGAAGGAAAUCGGGCACCGGACAGUGUCCGGUGUGCACCGGACUGUCCGGUGCACCCGACGACAGAAGGCAAGUUUGGCCUUCUGGAAUUGCUCUCAACGGCUCCUAGCUGCCUUGGGGCUAUAAAAGGGACCCCUAGGCGCAUGGAGGAGAACACCAAGCAACCUUAGAGCAUUCUUGAUCAUCCACACUCAGUCUUUGCGCAUUCGUUUGUCAUUCUAAGUGAUUCGAGCUCCGUUCUAGUGAGAACUUUGGGAUAGUCUUUUGAGCUCGAUUCUUGGUCGUGUGUGUGCGCAUUUUGCUGUGGAUUUGUGUGUGUUGCUUCCCUCCCUUACUCUGUAUUUCUUUGUGAAUCUCAAGUGUAAGGGCGAGAGACUCCAAGUUGUGGAGAUUCCUCGCAAAUGGGAAAUUGAAAGGAAAAGCAUAACACUGUGGUAUUCAAGUUGAUCAUUGGAUCACUUGAGAGGAGUUGAGUGCAACUCUCGUCCGUUGGGACGCCACAACGUGGAGUAGGCAAGUUUUGUACUUGGCCGAACCACGGGAUAAAUCACUGUGUCUUCUCUGUGUUGAACUCCGUGUGAUUAUCCUAUUGUGCAAGAUCUUCUCUCUAGCCACUUGGCAUUAACUGUGCUAACACUUAAUCAAAGUUUUGUGGCUUAAGUUUUGAAGUUUACAGGAUCACCUAUUCACCCCCCCCCCUCUAGGUGCUCUCAAUUGGUAUCAGAGGCAUUCUCUUCAAGAAAGGGACUAACCGCCCGAAGAGAUGGAUCCUAAGGGGAAGGGAAUCGUGAUCAACGAUAAGGAGAAGGAGUCCUUCGUCAACGAGCCAAAGGAUGACAAGUCAAACGACUCGGGCUCGGGUCAUAGACGAAAAGAUGGGAAGAAGAAGAAGACAAGGCGCAUCAAGGAAAUUGUCUACUACGACAGCGACGAAUCUUCCUCUUCCCAAAAGGACGAUGACAACGACUACAGGAAGACGGUCAAUUCGAACUUUUCAUUUGAUUAUUCUCGUAUUCCACAUAGUUCGAAUUCGCAUUUGCUUUCCAUUCCUCUCGGCAAACCUCCACACUUUGAUGGGGAGGACUACGGAUUUUGGAGUCACAAAAUGCGUAGUCAUUUAUUCUCUCUCCAUCCAAGCAUAUGGGAGAUUGUAGAGAAUGGAAUGAAAUUUGAUAGCUCGGAUAGUCCUAUGUUUAUUAACGAACAAAUUCAUAAAAAUGCACAAGCUACUACUGUGUUGCUAGCCUCUUUGUGCAGGGACGAGUACAAUAAGGUGAGCGGCUUGGACAAUGCCAAGCAGAUAUGGGACACCCUCAAGAUCUCUCACGAGGGGAACGACAUCACCAUGCUCACUAAAAUGGAGUUGGUGGAGGGCGAGCUUGGAAGGUUUGCAAUGAUAAGGGGCAAGGAGCCAACCCAAACAUACAACCGGCUCAAGACCCUUAUCAACAAAAUAAGGAGCUACGGAAGCACGCGAUGGACGGACCAUGACGUCGUCCGCCUAAUGCUAAGGUCAUUUACCGUUCUUGAUCCUCAUCUCGUGAACAAUAUUCGUGAGAAUCCCAGGUACACGAAGAUGACGCCCGAGGAGGUACUCGGAAAAUUCGUAAGCGGGCGGAUGAUGAUCAAGGAGGCAAGAUACGUGGACGACGCCUUGAAUGGACCGAUCAAUGAGCCUCAACCAAUUGCUCUCAAGGCAACAAGGAGCAAGGAGGCGCUACCAAGCAAGGUGGCGCAAGUUGAGGCGGCCGGGCUAAAUAAUGAGGAGAUGGCCCUCAUCAUUAAGCGCUUCAAGACGGCGCUUAAAGGUCGCAAGGGACAGCCAAACAAGACCAAGACAAAGGAGAAGCGCUCAUGCUUCAAAUGUGGUAAGAUUGGUCAUUUCAUUGCUAACUGUCCCGAUAAUGAAAGUGACCAGGAAAAGGAGGACAAGAGGGAAAAGAAGAAGCAUUACAAGAAGGCCAAGGGCGAGGCACAUAUCGGAAAGGAGUGGGAUUCGGAUUGCUCCUCUUCCGACUCCGACAAUGAGGGACUCGCCGCCACCGCCUUCAACAAAUCGACCCUCUUCCCCAACAAGCGUCACACAUGCCUUAUGGCAAGGGAGAAGAAGGUAUGUACUCAAAACCCUACCUAUGCUUCUUCUAGUAAGGAUGAGUCUAGUGAUGAUGAUGAGAUAGAUUACUCAUGCUUAUUCAAGGGAUUAGAUAGAUCUAAAAUUGAUAAGAUUAAUGAGUUGAUUGAUGCCUUGAAUGACAAGAAUAGAUUACUAGAAAAACAAGAGGACCUUUUAUAUGAAGAGCAUGACAAAUUUGUAGAAGCACAAAAAUCCCAUGCUUUAGAAGUUAAGAGAAAUGAAAUGCUUUCUUGUGAAUUAUCUUCUUGCCAUGAGACAAUUUCUAGCUUAAAGAGCAUAAAUGAUGAUUUAAAUGCUAAGCUAGAAAAAUCUAGUAAAUUAACAUCUUGUGUAGAACAUGUUGUGAUUUGCACUAGGUGUAAAUACUUUAAUGUUGAUGCUUGUAGUGAACACCUAGAGUGCAUUUCUAAAUUAAAUGAUGAAGUAGCUAGUCUUAAUGCCCAACUUAAGACUAGCAAGAGUGAUUUGGAUAAACUAAAAUUUGCAAGGGAUGCCUACACAAUUGGUAGACACCCCUCAAUUAAGGAUGGGCUUGGCUUCAAGAGGGAAGUCAAGAACUUGACAAGCCAUAAGGCUCCCAUCUCCGCCAAGGAGAAAGGGAAGGCCCCUAUGGCUAGUAGUGUGCAAAAGAACCAUGCUUUUAUGUACCAUGAUAGGAGACAAACUAGAAAUGCUUAUAGGAGUUUUAAUGCUUAUGAUGAUUUUGAUUCUCAUGUCAUGUUUGCUUCUAGUUCUUCCUAUGUGCAUGAUAGAAAUGUUGAUAGGAGAAAUGUUGUUCAUAAUAUGCCUAGGAGAAAUGUUGUUAAUAUUCCUAGAAAAGUUAUGAAUGGACCUUCUACAAUUUAUCAUGCACUAAAUGCUUCCUUUGCUAUUUGUAGAAAGGAUAGGAAAAUAGUUGCUAGGAAGUUAGGGGCAAAAUGCAAGGGAGACAAAACUUGCAUUUGGGUCCCUAAGGAAAUUUGCACUAACCUUGUAGGACCCAACAAGAGUUGGGUACCUAAGUCCCAAGCCUAAAUUUGCCUUGCAGGUUUAUGCAUCCGGGGGUUCAAGCUGGAUUAUCGACAGCGGAUGCACAAACCAUAUGACGGGGGAGAAGAAGAUGUUCACCUCCUACGUCAAGAAUAAGGAUUCCCAAGAUUCAAUUAUAUUCGGUGAUGGGAAUCAAGGCAAGGAUAAGUCUGAAACCCAAGGGACCCUCAAGCGCUUCCUCAGGAGAGCUCAAAAUGAGUUUGAGCUCAAGGUGAAGAAGAUAAGGAGCGACAACGGGUCCGAGUUCAAGAACCUUCAAGUGGAGGAGUUCCUUGAGGAGGAAGGGAUCAAGCAUGAGUUCUCUGCUCCCUACACACCACAGCAAAAUGGUGUGGUAGAGAGGAAGAACAGGACGCUAAUCGACAUGGCGAGGACUAUGCUUGGAGAGUUCAAGACCCUCGAGCGUUUUUGGUCGGAAGCCGUGAACACGGCUUGCCACGCCAUCAACAGGGUCUACCUUCACCGCCUCCUCAAGAAGACGUCGUAUGAGCUUCUAACCGGUAACAAACCCAAUGUAUCUUACUUUCGUGUAUUUGGGAGCAAGUGCUACAUUCUAGUGAAGAAGGGUAGAAAUUCUAAGUUUGCUCCCAAAGCUGUAGAAGGGUUUUUAUUAGGUUAUGACUCAAAUACAAAGGCGUAUAGAGUCUUCAACAAAUCAUCGGGUUUGGUUGAAGUCUCUAGCGACGUUGUAUUUGAUGAGACUAAUGGCUCUCCAAGAGAGCAAGUUGUUGAUUGUGAUGAUGUAGAUGAAGAAGAUGUUCCAACGGCCGCUAUACGAACCAUGGCAAUUGGAGAAGUGCGGCCACAGGAACACGAUGAACGAGAUCAAACAUCUUCCUCAACUAUGGUGCUACCCCCAACUCAAGACGAUGAACAGGUUCAUCAACAGGAGGCGUGUGAUCAAGGGGGAGCACAAGAUGAUCGUGUGAUGGAGGAAGAUGCGCAACCAGCACCUCCAACCCAAGUUCGAGCGAUGAUUCAAAGGGAUCAUCCCGUUGACCAAAUUCUGGGUGACAUUAGCAAGGGAGUAACUACUCGAUCUCGAUUAGUUAAUUUUUGUGAGCAUUACUCCUUUGUCUCUUCUAUUGAGCCUUUCAGGGUAGAGGAGGCCUUGCUAGAUCCGGACUGGGUGUUGGCCAUGCAGGAGGAGCUCAACAACUUCAAGAGAAAUGAAGUUUGGACGCUGGUGCCUCGUCCGAAGCAAAAUGUUGUGGGAACCAAGUGGGUGUUCCGCAACAAACAGGACGAACACGGGGUGGUGACGAGAAACAAGGCUCGACUUGUGGCAAAAGGUUAUGCCCAAGUCGCAGGUUUGGAUUUCGAGGAGACUUUUGCUCCUGUGGCUAGGCUAGAGUCUAUUCGUAUCCUGCUAGCAUAUGCCGCUCACCAUUCUUUCAGGCUGUUCCAAAUGGAUGUGAAGAGCGCUUUCCUCAACGGGCCGAUCAAGGAGGAGGUGUACGUGGAGCAACCCCCUGGCUUCGAGGAUGAACGGUACCCCAACCACGUGUGUAAGCUCUCUAAGGCGCUCUAUGGACUUAAGCAAGCCCCAAGAGCAUGGUAUGAAUGCCUUAGAGACUUUCUAAUUGCCAAUGCUUUCAAGGUUGGGAAAGCCGAUCCAACUCUUUUUACUAAGACAUGUGAUGGUGAUUUGUUUGUGUGCCAAAUUUAUGUCGAUGACAUAAUAUUUGGUUCUACUAACCAAAAGUCUUGUGAAGAGUUUAGCAGGGUGAUGACGCAGAAAUUCGAGAUGUCGAUGAUGGGCGAGUUGAACUACUUCCUUGGGUUCCAAGUGAAGCAACUCAAGGACGGCAACUUCAUCUCCCAAACGAAGUACACGCAAGAUCUGCUAAAGCGGUUUGGGAUGAAGGACGCCAAGCCCGCAAAGACUCCGAUGGGGACCGACGGACACACCGACCUCAACAAAGGAGGUAAGUCCGUUGAUCAAAAAGCAUACCGGUCAAUGAUAGGUUCUUUGCUUUACUUAUGUGCUAGUAGACCGGAUAUUAUGCUUAGCGUAUGCAUGUGUGCUAGAUUUCAAUCCGAUCCUAAGGAGUGUCACUUAGUGGCGGUAAAGCGAAUUCUUAGAUAUUUGGUUGCUACGCCUUGCUUCGGGCUCUGGUAUCCAAAGGGGUCUACCUUUGACUUAGUUGGAUACUCAGACUCCGACUAUGCUGGAUGUAAGGUCGAUAGGAAGAGUACAUCAGGGACGUGCCAAUUCUUAGGAAGGUCCCUGGUGUCAUGGAACUCUAAGAAACAAACCUCCGUUGCCCUAUCCACCGCUGAGGCCGAGUACGUUGCCGCAGGUCAGUGUUGCGCGCAACUACUUUGGAUGAGGCAAACCCUCCGGGACUUUGGCUACAAUCUGAGCAAAGUCCCACUCCUAUGUGACAAUGAGAGUGCUAUCCGCAUGGCGGAGAAUCCUGUUGAGCACAGCCGCACAAAGCACAUAGACAUCCGGCAUCACUUUUUGAGAGACCACCAGCAAAAGGGAGAUAUCGAAGUGUUUCAUGUUAGCACCGAGAACCAGCUAGCCGAUAUCUUCACUAAGCCUCUAGAUGAGAAGACCUUUUGCAGGUUGCGUAGUGAGCUAAAUGUCUUAGAUUCGCGGAACUUGGAUUGAAUUAUAGCAUACAUGUGUUUAUGCCCUUGAUCAGGUUCAUUCUGCAUUUUGUUGCUAAUUAUGGUGCUCAAGUUGUACAAACAAUCCCUGGACCUCACAAGUCCGUUGCAAAGUGAUGCACAUGUUUAGGGGGAGAUGUGUUACAACUUGACCCUUUGAGACUAACCAUGUGCUUGAGUUGAUGAUUUAGUCUCGGAGGAGGAUUGAAAGGGAAAAGGUGGACUUGGACCAUGAAAGACUUCCACUGCACUCCGAUGAGAGGGUAACUUAUUCCAAGUACAUCUCAUGAAAUCUUAUUGCCAUUUGCUCUUAAUUGAAGACUUUGGUGAGGCAAUGGGGUUAAAGGGCCAAGAUUGAUCCCGUUUUGGUGCUUGAUGCCAAAGGGGGAGAAAAUAAAGGCCAAAGCGAUAAAUGGAUCAGCUACCACUUGAGAGAUUUUGAAAAUAGUAGAAUAGAGUUUUUGUUUUGUCAAACUCUUUUAUUGUCUCUUAUUGUCUCUCCUGUCAAAAGUUGGCUUCUUGUGGGGAGAAGUGUUGAUUAUGGGAAAUAGGGGAAGUUUUUUUUUGAAAUCUUUGAUCAAUCUCUUUUGGAAUGACUCUCUUUAUGCUUCAACAUGUGUGUUUGACUUAGAGAUAGAGAUCUAAGUUUGAUUUGCAAAAACAAACCAAGUGGUGGCAAAGGAUGAUCCAUAUAUGCCAAAAUUGAGUCAAAAUCAAUUUGAAUUUUAUUUGAAGUGAUUUCGCACUUGUUCUAGUUGCUUUAUGUUGUGUUGGCAUAAAUCACCAAAAAGGGGGAGAUUGAAAGGGAAAUGUGCCCUUGGGCCAUUUCUAAGUAUUUUGGUGAUUGAGUGCCAACUCAAGUUCUUAAAAUGUGAAUUUAUGCAAUGGAUGAACAAAGUGCAAAUCAAGAGCAAAGGUAUGUUUCUAAGUCUUAGUACAUUGGUUUUGUGUACUAAUAUACGUGUCUAAGUAUUGGAAACAGGAAGAAAAAGAAAAGGAAAAAGGUGGCUGUGUACAGCCAAGGGGCUGUUUCGGUCUGGGGCACCGGACUGUCCGGUGGUGCACCGGACAGUGUCCGGUGCGCCAGGCUGCCUCGGCCGAACAGGCCGCUCUCGGGAAUUCGCCGACGGCGUACGGCUAAAAUUCACCGGACUGUCCGGUGAGCCAACGGUCGGCCGGGCCAACGGUCGGCCGCGCGAUCUGCGCGGGACACGUGGCCGAGCCAACGGUCGGGAAGGGGCACCGGACUGUCCGGUGUGCACCGGACAUGUCCGGUGCGCCAACGGCUCCCGCAUCUGCAACGGUCGACUGUGCUGUUUAAGGAAGGAAAUCGGGCACCGGACAGUGUCCGGUGUGCACCGGACUGUCCGGUGCACCCGACGACAGAAGGCAAGUUUGGCCUUCUGGAAUUGCUCUCAACGGCUCCUAGCUGCCUUGGGGCUAUAAAAGGGACCCCUAGGCGCAUGGAGGAGAACACCAAGCAACCUUAGAGCAUUCUUGAUCAUCCACACUCAGUCUUUGCGCAUUCGUUUGUCAUUCUAAGUGAUUCGAGCUCCGUUCUAGUGAGAACUUUGGGAUAGUCUUUUGAGCUCGAUUCUUGGCCGUGUGUGUGCGCAUUUUGCUGUGGAUUUGUGUGUGUUGCUUCCCUCCCUUACUCCGUAUUUCUUUGUGAAUCUCAAGUGUAAGGGCGAGAGACUCCAAGUUGUGGAGAUUCCUCGCAAACGGGAAAUUGAAAGGAAAAGCAUAACACUGUGGUAUUCAAGUUGAUCAUUGGAUCACUUGAGAGGAGUUGAGUGCAACUCUCGUCCGUUGGGACGCCACAACGUGGAGUAGGCAAGUUUUGUACUUGGCCGAACCACGGGAUAAAUCAUUGUGUCUUCUCUGUGUUGAACUCCGUGUGAUUAUCCUAUUGUGCAAGAUCUUCUCUCUAGCCACUUGGCAUUAACUGUGCUAACACUUAAUCAAAGUUUUGUGGCUUAAGUUUUGAAGUUUACAGGAUCACUAUUCACCCCCCCCCCUCUAGGUGCUCUCAACGACAGCAAGUGUUGAAAGGGCAUUUUCUGCAAUGAGUUUGGUGAAGACUAAAUUGAGAAACAAGAUGUGUGAUAGUCUUUUGGAUGAUUGUCUUGUUACAUACAUCAAGAGAGAUAUUUUCUUCGAAAUAAAAUGAAGAAGAUAUAAUUGAAACUUUUAUGGUGUUGAGGAAGCACAGACCAGAUAAGUAGUAUUAUUGCAAUCUUUAUGUUUAAUGUAUGCAAUUUUCAUGCUUAUUUGUUGAGUGUCAAACUUUAUAUCUAUAUAUAUCAAAUUGUUUACCAAAUUUAUAUGUACAUGAGAUAGAAUUCUACAUAAAAAUUUUGUUACGACACACUCUAUAUAAAAAUUCUAGAUUCGCCACUGCAAGCACACCAUCCGGGCCUAAGAUGUGCAUGCGUAAAUUUACUCACGGUGUUUUUUCACUACAUUUAAAACAUUGGUUUUCUGCCACAUUCGAGAGAGGACACAUGUCUAGCGGCAAUACAAUGUAUAUCUCCAAUCAAUCUUACAUCCAUGGUGGGCAUGCUAGAGAUUGUUAUAGAACAUCAGAUUGAGUUAUUGCACUUAAUUGGAGUAAGAGCAUCUCCAACAAUGCCUCAAAUCGAAAUAUAGGGCUCUACACAGGAAAAACCACUCCAACAGUGCCUCAAUUCAACAAAUUUUGUCAAAAAACUAUAGGGCACCCUCUCAAGUGCCUCAAAUAUACUACACCGUAGUGGGCUGCCCUAUAAACUAGAUUUGGGGCUUUACUAUUGGAGCGGGAUGUUUUGUUGGUGCCCUAAAUUUUAUAAAAUUUACUUAUUUUUAAAUUAUAAGGCAUUUUUAUAGGUCACGUUGUUGGAGAUGCUCUAAGGCUGACCAUAAAUUAAAUUUGAGCUAAAAUGAUCUUCAAAAAAAUGGAGAAAAAAAAUACUCCCUCUCUAAGAGCAUCUCCAACAAUGCCUCAAACUAGUGCCUCAAAUUGAAAUAUAGGGUUCUAUAUAGGAAACACUACUCCAACAGUGCCUUAUUUUUUAAAAUUUUGUCAAAAACAUAUAGGGCACUCUCUCAAGUGCCUCAAAUAUACUACACCAUAGUGGGCUGCUCUAUAAUCUAGAAUUAAGGCUUUACUAUUGGAACAUAAUAUUUUGUUGGUGCCAUAAAUCAUAUAAAAUAUACCUAUUUUUAAAUUAUAGGGCAUUUUUAUAGGACACUUUGUUGGAGAUGCUCUAAGUGAAAAGCACCAAUCAAGACAUAAUUAAGAAGCAAACUCAAAGACAAAAGACACAUAAGGAUGGCACAAUUUUACCUUCAGAUAUCCCAAAGCAAUCUAAAAAAAUGCUUUAGCAUGCAAAUUUGCGAUGCACGCGUUUCCAUAUAUAUAGUUGGCGCUUGCAAUCAGCAAACCAUCCGGUGGAGACACAGCAGACCUCGUACGUCGAUCUAUGGCGGCCAGCCAGAGCUAGAAUCCACGUACACGUACGCGGCUGGCGGUCUAGGUGGUUUCGCCAUGAAGCCGACGCAUAUCGACCAGCAGUCUCCGGUCCCCGGCAAAAGCGCCGGCGCGAGAUGGACCAGUGAUCCGGAUGCCCCCCCGCGCGCGCAUCGAUCUGCUGGACUGGACGCAACUUUUGAUGGAGAAGGGACGACCAUGCGUCGUCCAUCCGUCUCUCCUCG
RNAcentral lists this long non-coding RNA (13501 nucleotides) under Zea mays. RNAcentral's name for it is "long non-coding RNA (ZMAY_LNC004143)". The record is from RNAcentral. Lineage: Eukaryota; Viridiplantae; Streptophyta; Magnoliopsida; Poales; Poaceae.